RNAcentral lists this ribosomal RNA (497 nucleotides) under uncultured bacterium. RNAcentral describes it as "partial 16S ribosomal RNA". It matches the Rfam family "Bacterial small subunit ribosomal RNA", at positions 28 to 507 of the family's 1533-position model. The record is from RNAcentral.
GAUGAACGCUGGCGGCGUGCCUAAUACAUGCAAGUCGAGCGAACGGACGAGAAGCCUGCUUCUCUGAUGUUAGCGGCGGACGGGUAAGUAACACGUGGAUAACCUACCUAUAAGACUGGGAUAACUUCGGGAAACCGGAGCUAAUACCGGAUGAUAUUUUGAACCGCAUGGUUCAAAAGUGAAAGACGGUCUUGCUGUCACUUAUAGAUGGAUCCGCGCUGCAUUAGCUAGUUGGUAAGGUAACGGCUUACCAAGGCAACGAUGCAUAGCCGACCUGAGAGGGUGAUCGGCCACACUGGAACUGAGACACGGUCCAGACUCCUACGGGAGGCAGCAGUAGGGAAUCUUACGCAAUGGGCGAAAGCCUGACGGAGCAACGCCGCGUGAGUGAUGAAGGUCUUCGGAUCGUAAAACUCUGUUAUUAGGGAAGAACAUAUGUGUAAGUAACUGUGCACAUCUUGACGGUACCUAAUCAGAAAGCCACGGCUAACUACGUG